RNAcentral lists this ribosomal RNA (484 nucleotides) under uncultured bacterium. Its description in RNAcentral is "partial 16S ribosomal RNA". It matches the Rfam family "Bacterial small subunit ribosomal RNA", at positions 29 to 507 of the family's 1533-position model. The record is from RNAcentral.
AUUGAACGCUGGCGGCAUGCUUUACACAUGCAAGUCGAACGGCAGCGCGGGCUUCGGCCUGGCGGCGAGUGGCGAACGGGUGAGUAAUACAUCGGAACGUGCCCAGUAGUGGGGGAUAGCUCGGCGAAAGCCGGAUUAAUACCGCAUACGACCUGAGGGUGGAAGCGGGGGAUCUUCGGACCUCGCGCUAUUGGAGCGGCCGAUGGCAGAUUAGCUAGUUGGUGGGGUAAAGGCCUACCAAGGCGACGAUCUGUAGCUGGUGUGAGAGGACGACCAGCCACACUGGGACUGAGACACGGCCCAGACUCCUACGGGAGGCAGCAGUGGGGAAUUUUGGACAAUGGGCGAAAGCCUGAUCCAGCAAUGCCGCGUGUGUGAUGAAGGCCUUCGGGUUGUAAAGCACUUUUGGCGGGAACGAAAAGGACUGUGCCAAUACCACGGUUCGAUGACGGUACCCGCAGAAUAAGCACCGGCUAACUACGUG